ACUUGAUUCACUUUACUCUUGUCCUGUUAUUACAUGGAAGCUUUGAAAACUCAGGUUAGAAUCCUUGGGUUCUGUUUUUUGAUACUUUUUUUCCUUUUUCAUAAUCUAUUUUUUGUUUUGUUUUGUUAAAUGUAAAUGUUUUAUACUUUAAAUUCUACUGACUUUGUAGGAUAUGGAUGCAUCAAAGAAGAACUAUAAAAAGUCAAAUAUUGAAGGAAGAAAUUUGGAAAAUAAUUUAGAGUCAAAUAAAAAGGGGAAACAUAAAAAGAGAAAGAAAAUGCAUGAAAUUGAUGGGGAAGCUACAAAGAACUGGGAAGAAGAGGGCUUCACUAGUAGAAAAAAGAAGAGAAAGAGAUUGGAAGAAAUGAGUGCUUCAAUGGCAAGCAAAAGACACAAACUUAUUGAAGAUAAUGAUCUUGAGAGUGCUGUCUCAAGUACAGAUUUAAGAGUGCUUAAAAAGAGUCGUGUGAGAUUUGUUGAAGAGGAAAAUUAUGCUGAUGAAGUGCUGCCUUUUAUGGAGCAACUAUUGAAUGAUGAGAAUGUGUCUCAAACUCCUAGUAUUUCUAAUAGUAUAAAUUCUUAGCAAGAUGAAGAAUUAGGUCAUCCAAAAGCAAAGAGGGUUAGAGGACCUACAUUGUUGAAAAAAUUUGGAACAUGCCUCAUGGAAAGACAAUUGAUGUGCAAUUUAAUAACCGCAACCAAGCUAUAAGAAAAGAAGGCAGAAAACUUGCUAGUUUUCUUGGUAUUCUAGCUAGAACUCCUUCAAUAAUGCCUUUAAACAUAGAUGACUGGAGAUGUUAUGAUAAAGAGGAGAAAAAUAAGUUGCUAAAAAUUGUGAGGGUAAGAAUUUAUUAUUCUUAACGGAUUCCAAUUUAAUUUUAUUUGAUUCAUUAAGAAAUUGCUUGAACGUUUUGUAGAAGAAGUUUUCUAUCCCAAUAUGUGGUGAGGAAUUUGUAAAAAGAUCAAUUGAAAAGAAAUGGAAAGAUUAUAAAUGUUACUUAAAGGGUAUGUAUUUGGGCAAUACAAAACCAAAGAUAUUUUAUUGAAGAAUAGACCAGAACGAAUCCCAAGAGAUCAAUGGAUUGGUCUUGUCUCAUAUUGGUUCUCUGAUAAAGCAAAGAAACGUACUCAAGCAAAUAGGAUUAAUAAAGCAAAGCAAAAAAUGCCUCACACGGGAGGAUCCAAAAACAUUGCAACAUUGAUGGAUAAACAGG
Non-coding RNA from Arachis ipaensis, 1214 nucleotides. NCBI's taxonomy places the organism in Eukaryota, Viridiplantae, Streptophyta, Magnoliopsida, Fabales, Fabaceae. The record is from RefSeq and is a predicted model, not a curated record.